AUUGAACGCUGGCGGAAUGCUUUACACAUGCAAGUCGAACGGCAGCACGGGGGCAGCCCUGGUGGCGAGUGGCGAACGGGUGAGUAAUACAUCGGAACGUGCCCGGUCGUGGGGGAUAACGUAGCGACAGUUACGCUAAUACCGCAUACGAUCUGAGGAUGAAAGCGGGGGACCUUCGGGCCUCGCGCGAUCGGAGCGGCCGAUGUCAGAUUAGGUAGUUGGUGGGGUAAAGGCCUACCAAGCCGACGAUCUGUAGCUGGUCUGAGAGGACGACCAGCCACACUGGGACUGAGACACGGCCCAGACUCCUACGGGAGGCAGCAGUGGGGAAUUUUGGACAAUGGGCGCAAGCCUGAUCCAGCCAUGCCGCGUGCAGGACGAAGGCCUUCGGGUUGUAAACUGCUGUUGUACGGAACGAAAAGGCUCUGGCUAAUACCUGGGGCUCAUGACGGUACCGUAAGAAUAAGCACCGGCUAACUACGUG
RNAcentral lists this ribosomal RNA (484 nucleotides) under uncultured bacterium. RNAcentral describes it as "partial 16S ribosomal RNA". It matches the Rfam family "Bacterial small subunit ribosomal RNA", at positions 29 to 507 of the family's 1533-position model. The record is from RNAcentral.